This is a long non-coding RNA of Archocentrus centrarchus (flier cichlid), 696 nucleotides long. RefSeq lists it as uncharacterized. The record is from RefSeq and is a predicted model, not a curated record. NCBI's taxonomy places the organism in Eukaryota, Metazoa, Chordata, Actinopteri, Cichliformes, Cichlidae. The transcript has 4 exons.
UGUCAGGGCUAAGCUAGUAGAGUGCAUUACUGGCACCAGAAAGAGCCCCUAUCAUCGAUUCACAUUUUAAAUAUAGCAUUGUAGCAGAGAACCUUUGAAGCUUUACUGGUGCAUUAGGUCAACUGUUGACCAUCUUAUCUUGGAGGGAUCAGCACAGACAUUACCAUUUAGAAAGAAAGGGAAAAGCUUGCCUCCCUUCUCUGUUCUGGUCCACUUCUCAGCCAAUCAGCAUUCAACCUACACUAUGUGCUGUUGGGUUUUUGGAGGAUUGCACAGGAGCACGUUUGGCAUCUGAUGAAUGUGGUGUUCCACUCCAGCUGCUCUUACCAAGGAGCAGAACAAACAGCUGGCCAAUCGCCAUCAGAUCCCUGCACUAAGCUACAGUCCAGACUCCUUCCACCCACCGGGUCAUUGAUGGCCAGCUGGCUUUCUCCAUAACUAGAAUUAAGGAUGCCAGACGUCGAGGGAGGGGAUUCCAGUCUUGUGGAGUCUUGGGAGGGAUAUGGCACUGAAGAAUGUUCUUGGGUGCCGCAGUCUGCCAUCUUGGACAAGGCGAUCGUCAGAGACUUUCACUGCAGGCACCCUGACAAGACUGGUGGGUCACUGGGAGGGUCCCGUUAAGGAGGGGUUCUGUCAUGGUCCCUCUGUCCUCCUGUGCUGGCUCAACACAUCCUAUUUCUUUCAUGUUGCUCUCUC